Long non-coding RNA from Rhineura floridana, 318 nucleotides. RefSeq lists it as uncharacterized. The transcript is spliced from 2 exons. The record is from RefSeq and is a predicted model, not a curated record. Lineage: Eukaryota; Metazoa; Chordata; Lepidosauria; Squamata; Rhineuridae.
GACAUAUAUAAAUGACCGCUCAAUGCAAGGACCUUGCCCUACUUCAGAGUCACCUCUAAAUUUAACGUCGUGAAUAAAAAUGUUAAAGAGCACUGGGCCCAGGACCAAGCCUUGUGGUACCGCACUCGUUACUUCUGCCCAGUUUGAGAAAGAACCGUUGAUAAGCACUCUUUGAAAAACCAUUAAGUAGUCUGCCAAGACCCUCAGCAAUUUUCAAGUAGUCCAUGCGGGGAAAAGUUUGGAAACCAAUGUUUUGCCUUUGUUUUGCCAGAUCUCUGGUAGCAAUUUCAAAUAAAUAAAUAAAUAAAUGACACUCCC